Molecule: ribosomal RNA, 551 nt
Filed under: uncultured bacterium
Lineage: Bacteria
Description: bacterial SSU rRNA
Rfam family: Bacterial small subunit ribosomal RNA
Source: RNAcentral
GUAUGCUCUAACAUGCAAGUCGUACGGGAGUUUUUAACUCAAGUGGCGGACGGGUGAGUAACACGUAAGAAUUUACCUUUAGGAGGGGGAUAACACAUGGAAACAGGUGCUAAUACCCCAUAUGCUUUCGAGUGAAAUGGAUUUUUCCGCCUAGAGAGAAGCUUGCGGCUGAUUAGCUUGUUGGUGAGGUAAUGGCUCACCAAGGCGACGAUCAGUAUCUGGUUUGAGAGGACGAUCAGACACACUGGAACUGAGACACGGUCCAGACUCCUACGGGAGGCAGCAGUGGGGAAUUUUCCGCAAUGGGCGAAAGCCUGACGGAGCAAUACCGCGUGAGGGAUGACGGCCUAUGGGUUGUAAACCUCUUUUUUCAGGGAGGAAUCAAUGACGUGUACCUGAAGAAUAAGCAUCGGCUAACCCCGUGCCAGCAGCCGCGGUAAGACGGGGGAUGCAAGUGUUAUCCGGAAUCACUGGGCGUAAAGCGUCUGUAGGUGGUUUUAUAAGUCAACUGUUAAAUCUCGAGGCCCAACCUCGAAAUCGCAGUCGAAACU